ACGAGUUUUCUAAACUCCCAAAACCUUUGUGAACCUACCACUUGUUGCCUCGACAGUCAACUAUCCGGUUGUCGUUACACUUCGGUGUAUCGCCAACCUACCCGGUACUAACAUACCCGGUAGCUCUGCGGAUAGCCUGUCGGUGGACACUUUAAACUCUUGUUUUUAUAAUGCCAUUCUGAAUUUUUAUACUUAAUAAGUUA
This 203-nucleotide unclassified non-coding RNA is filed under the name uncultured Dothideomycetes. RNAcentral describes it as "sequence contains ITS1". The record is from RNAcentral. Lineage: Eukaryota; Fungi; Ascomycota; Dothideomycetes.